GGCUGAAGCAGGAGAAUCGCUUGAACCCGGGAAAGGGAGAUUGCAGUAAACCAAGAUCGUACCACCACACUCCAGCUUGGAUGACAGAGCGAGACUCUGUCUCAAAAAAAAAAAAAAAAUUCAUGUGACAAUUGUAUGAUUCCACUUAUAUGAGGUACUUAGAAUAGUUAAAUUCACAGAGACAGAAAGUAGAACAGUGGUUAUCAGAGGCCAAGGGGAUGGAGGAGCUGCUCACGGCGAGUUAUUGCUUCAAGGGUACAGAGUUUCAGUUUGGGAUGAUAAAAAAUUCUGGAGCUGGUUGGGAGUGAUGAUUGCACAACAGUGUGAAUGUACUUAAUGCCACUGAACUGUACACCUAAAAUGGUUAAACAGUAAAUUUUAUGUCAAAUAUAUUUUACCAUAAUAACAUUUUUAAAAAUUGAUGGGAAAUAUUAUUUUGCAAUGGAAUAGUUGCAAGUUGUUUGUUAAUUGUUCAAACCACCUUGGUACUUGCUCAUUUGGUUGAGGGAGAUUAGAGGGAAGAAAUUGCAAAAGAUGUUUUGCUAGUGUGUACUACAAGAUUUCAGAUGACUUGUUGCCUGGUAUAGUAGCUGCACUUCUUUAAACUUUGCUAUACUGUAUAUACAGCCAGGAAUGUUUUUCUCAAGGACAUGGCAGCUACCUCUUUGAAAUAAAAUCUUCAAGGGAGAUAGUUUUCCUAACUCUUACUUUUGUGGGAGGGUAGGAGUCUAACUUCAGUGGGUAUCUUGCUCCAAGCUGCAAAACUGCCUCCUGUCUUAGAGAUAUGAAACAUCUGUUUCUUCUUUGGAUAAAGCCAACUAGCAAACAAAGACCACCCCCAAUUAACAGAUACAUUUAAGAUGGACUAUAUGUGAUGAAUGAUGCUGUCAACUCCUCUUACUUGGGGACAAGUUAUCAUUUAUCAUAAGAAUAUGUAUGUCAUAGAUUGCAUCUGCUUGACAUCACAAAAUAUACCAGGAAAAAAGGGUGAAAUGUAUCCCUUUCUUGGUUGGGUGCGGUGGCUCAUGCCUGUAAUCCCAGCACUUUGGGAGGCAAAGGUGGGUGGAUCACCUGAGCCCAGGAGUUCCAGACCAGCCUGGGCAAUAUGGUGAGACCCCCCACCGUCUCUACAAAAAAUACAAAAAUUAGCUGGGUGUGAUGGCAUGUCCCCUGCACUCCCAGCUCCUUGGGAGGCUGAGGUAGGAGGAUGGAUUGAGCCUGAGAGGUCAAGACUGCGGUGAGCUAUGUGAUUGUACCACUGCAUUCCAGCCUGGGUGACAGAGUGAGACCCUUUCUCAAAAAAAAAAAAAAAA
Molecule: long non-coding RNA, 1313 nt
Organism: Homo sapiens (human)
Lineage: Eukaryota; Metazoa; Chordata; Mammalia; Primates; Hominidae
Source: Ensembl